GCAGGACACCCGCUGAUGCAGUUUCAGGAGCGAGGACGGGGGACCCACAAUCCUCCGGGAAGCGGUCGAUCACCUCGGUGGUCGGCCUUGGGGUUAAGCCCGGCAGACGUCGCACCCAGUGACGCGAGCCGGACCGGGCACCUCUCAGCCCGAACCCGACAGCUCACCUCGUAGGCGCGUGGAGAGAGGAAAC
RNAcentral lists this small RNA (193 nucleotides) under Gordonia sihwensis. RNAcentral describes it as "c-di-AMP sequence". It matches the Rfam family "c-di-AMP riboswitch aptamer (ydaO/yuaA leader)". Rfam says of the family: This family represents a conserved RNA structure found upstream of the ydaO and yuaA genes in Bacillus subtilis and related genes in other bacteria. The ydaO/yuaA element is thought to act as a genetic "off" switch for the ydaO and yuaA genes in its native state. RNAcentral also lists the same sequence under 1 other name. Lineage: Bacteria; Bacillati; Actinomycetota; Actinomycetes; Mycobacteriales; Gordoniaceae. The record is from RNAcentral.